AUCAUAGAUACAAUGUCAAAUAACAAUUGCGCACCAGCCAAGGAUGUUAUUUCUGCAACAUCGUAAGCGGGAGCUACUUCGACAAGGUCAGCGCCUACGAAUUUCAGACCUUGCAAACCACGUAAAAUUGCUCUCAUUUCUCUAGAUGACCAACCGCCAGUUUCAGGAGUACCCGUAGCGGGUGCAAAUGCAGGAUCAAGCACAUCAAUAUCAAUGGAUAAAUAUACCAAAUUAUCACCAACUCUGUCACGAAUCUUUUUGACGAUACCAUCAAUCCCCAAAUCAUCAA
Schizosaccharomyces pombe (fission yeast) is the source of this 289-nucleotide non-coding RNA. The record is from the annotation of a GenBank genome assembly. NCBI's taxonomy places the organism in Eukaryota, Fungi, Ascomycota, Schizosaccharomycetes, Schizosaccharomycetales, Schizosaccharomycetaceae.